CAUGACAUGAUGAUUAGUAUUAAAAACGACACCUCUUGUCUGAAAAACAAACCAUGACGUUAAAAAAUACACACUGAAGA
Molecule: small nucleolar RNA, 80 nt
Filed under: Drosophila ananassae
Lineage: Eukaryota; Metazoa; Arthropoda; Insecta; Diptera; Drosophilidae
Description: snoRNA:GF26011
Source: RNAcentral